AACAUAAUCCAGGUGUGUGCCAAUUUAACUAGCAGGCGUGGUCCUCUAAUUGCCCCGAAUUUCUCCCGCAAACUGAGCCCUGCCAAUUCUGACAUACUGUUGUAAGCAUCGAUAUAUGAAAAAACAGAACCAAACAAUGCAAGUUUGUAACAAACUUUAUUUCUACGCAGAUUUACAAGAAAUGAUACUGCUAGUAAAGUACCUGAACUUCAUUUUAUAAGCCUGGAACUUUAUUAGGGUUAUUGGGGGUAAUUAAUGAAUUGCUAAAAAAUACUUUAGUCCCAUUGCUUGUUGUGACGCUUGUGUUGGUAGCAGCAAUGAACAUGAGCAACAACUGAAAAUAACGUUGUUACAUUUUUAUUACUUACUAAAGGAACAACAUGAAAUAACACUCAAAAUUAAACACAAUUUCUGACACUACCCUACAGAAUCUGAACUCGAGGAACUUAAAAAACUUGAGGAAGAACAGCCAGUCUUGAUCACUGAGGAGGAAGGGCUGUGUGUGCAGAUUGCUGCUCUCUGUCAUGAUCUGGGUCAUGGCCCCUUCUCUCACCAGUUUGAUGAUCUGUUCAUUCCAAAAGUAGUAGAAAAGCUCUCAGCAGAGCUU
Anguilla rostrata (American eel) is the source of this 607-nucleotide long non-coding RNA. RefSeq lists it as uncharacterized. Lineage: Eukaryota; Metazoa; Chordata; Actinopteri; Anguilliformes; Anguillidae. The transcript has 2 exons. The record is from RefSeq and is a predicted model, not a curated record.